ACGGAGGGUGCAAGCGUUGUCCGGAAUCAUUGGGCGUAAAGAGUUCGUAGGCGGCAUGUCAAGUCUGGUGUUAAAGCCCGAGGCUCAACCUCGGUUCGGCACUGGAUACUGGCAAGCUAGAAUGUGGUAGAGGUAAAGGGAAUUCCUGGUGUAGCGGUGAAAUGCGCAGAUAUCAGGAGGAACACCGGUGGCGUAAGCGCUUUACUGGGCCAUAAUUGACGCUGAGGAACGAAAGCCGGGGGAGCAAAUGG
Molecule: ribosomal RNA, 251 nt
Filed under: uncultured prokaryote
Description: partial 16S rRNA
Rfam family: Bacterial small subunit ribosomal RNA
Source: RNAcentral